This 312-nucleotide unclassified non-coding RNA is filed under the name uncultured fungus. RNAcentral describes it as "partial contains 5.8S ribosomal RNA and internal transcribed spacer 2". The stretch from base 1 to 133 matches the Rfam family "5.8S ribosomal RNA", at positions 22 to 154 of the family's 154-position model. The record is from RNAcentral. Lineage: Eukaryota; Fungi.
UGGUUCUCGCAUCGAUGAAGAACGCAGCGAAAUGCGAUAAGUAAUGUGAAUUGCAGAAUUCAGUGAAUCAUCGAAUCUUUGAACGCACAUUGCGCCCCUUGGUAUUCCGGGGGGCAUGCCUGUUCGAGCGUCAUUACACCACUCAAGCCUGGCUUGGUAUUGGGCGGCGGGGUCCCCCCCGCGCCUCCAUGUGACUCGGCUGGACGGUUGGAAUCUCAGCGUUGUGAAUCAGUUCGCUCCUGACGACGACCGCCCGCGCCGUUAAACCUCCCCAUUCAGGUUGACCUCGGAUCAGGUAGGGAUACCCGCUGA